GCCUUCGUAGUGUAAUGGUCAGCACACUCGGCGCAUAUUCGAGAGGUCCGUAGUUCGAAUCUCGGCAAGGGCA
RNAcentral lists this transfer RNA (73 nucleotides) under Stegodyphus mimosarum. It matches the Rfam family "tRNA". From Rfam's summary of the family: Transfer RNA (tRNA) molecules are approximately 80 nucleotides in length. Their secondary structure includes four short double-helical elements and three loops (D, anti-codon, and T loops). Lineage: Eukaryota; Metazoa; Arthropoda; Arachnida; Araneae; Eresidae. The record is from Rfam by way of RNAcentral.